Molecule: ribosomal RNA, 383 nt
Filed under: uncultured bacterium
Lineage: Bacteria
Description: bacterial SSU rRNA
Rfam family: Bacterial small subunit ribosomal RNA
Source: RNAcentral
AACGAACGCUGGCGGCAUGCCUAACACAUGCAAGUCGAACGGGAUCCUGGUUUCGGCCAGGUGAGAGUGGCGGACGGGUGAGUAACGCGUGGGAACCUGCCCAGUGGUGGGGGAUAACUGCGGGAAACUGCAGCUAAUACCGCAUGAGCCCGAAAGGGGAAAGAUUGAUCGCCAUUGGAGGGGCCCGCGUUCGAUUAGGUAGUUGGUGAGGUAACGGCUCACCAAGCCUUCGANCGAUAGCUGGUCUGAGAGGAUGAUCAGCCACACUGGGACUGAGAUACGGCCCAGACUCCUACGGGAGGCAGCAGUGGGGAAUAUUGGACAAUGGGGGCAACCCUGAUCCAGCAAUGCCGCGUGAGUGAUGAAGGCCUUCGGUUGGUAAG